AUGGGUGGCACAUGGAAGGCCAUGGCAGCGUGGGAGACAGCGGGACAAGGACAGCACAAGGCUCUUUUCCACAGCCCAUCUGCAUCCCUGCCAUGGAACAGCCAGCCCUGCUCUCCGUGCAGGUCUCUGCCUCAGGGCUGUGCUUCUGUUCCAAGCACAGUCACAGAGGGCUGGGGGAGAGGUGAAGGAUCACUCUGGGAUCUCUGCUCUUUGAGCACACCCCCUUGGACCUUAGCAGAAAACAAGUCCAGUCCGAAUCAAAGAAAUACGAGAAAGCUCGGUACAUAUCCUGCAAUCUGCCGCUGGAAACUGAGUUAAAGAGAGGGAGUGUGAAGGAUGGCUCGAGAGCAGGACUUUUCAAAGGGCUGAGCUGGAGUGAAGGCGAUGGAAGAGUUUCCAUGGCUUCCAGGGACCCCGGAGCGGCGGCGGGGGCGGCCGGGAUGCAGCAGCGCUUUGUCAACACGUUUAUGACUUCCUAAAGACAGAGCACACUGAGACCAUCGUUACUUUUUGUUAUUUUUGUUAUUGUUCUUGUUGUUGUUUAAAUCGAAGUGAAGUGACAAGAAAAAAAGAUUUCUUGUGUUAAAGCGCCUCAAGCAGCGACGCUCCCAAGGUGAUGCCGAAAGCCGUCGAUAGCCGGGACCAUUUGAAUUGGAAGGUGCCUUUUCCAUCCUGGCUGAAGCGGAAUGCCAUUUAUUCUCAUGCGCGGGAUUAAUUAGGGGCCUUUUUUUGUUGUUUUGGUGUUUUUUUUGAAGAUCAAGGUUUCUCUCUCGCUGCU
RNAcentral lists this long non-coding RNA (778 nucleotides) under Cyanistes caeruleus (blue tit). RNAcentral describes it as "lncRNA (ENSCCEG00000024187.1)". Lineage: Eukaryota; Metazoa; Chordata; Aves; Passeriformes; Paridae. The record is from RNAcentral.